GUCGAAGGGGCAUCGGGGAGAGUGCUUGCACUCUCUGCCGGCGACUGGUGCACGGGUGAGUAACACGUAUGCAACCUGCCCUCCACAGGGGGACAACCUUCCGAAAGGGAGGCUAAUCCCGCGUAUAUUCCCUGGGGGCAUCCCUGGGGGAGGAAAGGGUUACCGGUGGAGGAUGGGCAUGCGGCGCAUUAGGCAGUAGGCGGGGUAACGGCCCACCUAACCGACGAUGCGUAGGGGUUCUGAGAGGAAGGUCCCCCACACUGGUACUGAGACACGGACCAGACUCCUACGGGAGGCAGCAGUGAGGAAUAUUGGUCAAUGGGCGGGAGCCUGAACCAGCCAAGCCGCGUGAAGGAAGAAGGCGCCAGGCGUCGUAAACUUCUUUUGUCGGGGAACAAAGGGCGCCACGCGUGGCGUUGUGAGUGUACCCGAAGAAAAAGCAUCGGCUAACUCCGUGCCAGCAGCCGCGGUAAUACGGAGGAUGCGAGCGUUAUCCGGAUUUAUUGGGUUUAAAGGGUGCGUAGGCGGUCCGGAAAGUCAGCGGUAAAAGCCCGGGGCUCAACCCCGGCGAGCCGUUGAAACUGU
This 585-nucleotide ribosomal RNA is filed under the name uncultured bacterium. RNAcentral describes it as "bacterial SSU rRNA". It matches the Rfam family "Bacterial small subunit ribosomal RNA", at positions 61 to 636 of the family's 1533-position model. The record is from RNAcentral.